GUGCACGGUCGCAUGUUACUCGAAGAAGAUCUGUCAUUUGCACCAUUUUGUCAGUGAUAUUGUGAGCGAUGUUCCUCCACCUCUCCUCGCCUCGCUCCUUCACGAAGAGCUGAGGUCUCAGAGGGAACACCACAAGGGGCGCUCUGGGAUACCUGCCCUUACACGAGUCCUGGGACUGCAGCGAUGGCUGUCUGAUCUAUCCCAGCGGAGCCGCGAUGGACAAAAUCAACUUCCACAGGGUGGUGCAACGGUUCAGUGAUGACAAGCCUCCUAGUUUUGUCAUGGACUCUUUAUUCCAUUAUCUGAAUGGAAUUGCCAGGCAGAUCAGUUCGGUCAAUAUAGAGGAUGUAGGUAAUGUGGCUGUGCGGUCGGAUUGUUUCUGUGCCGUUUGGCUGCUAGGAGACUAAACGAAGCCACAGUUAAUGGACGUCAUCCAGACAAAAGAUCGCUUCUCCUGCAUCACCGUCAGUCCACACUUCCCCAAUGAGCUCGCGGUGGUCAAUGAGCAGGGAGCAGCUUAUCUUUGGACUGCGAAAAAAGGAUUGCAAAAGUUCCGUGUGGAGGAUUCCAACCUGUACUUCAAUGUUAAGUCUCCAUGGCGAUGGUGUGAGUUCUCCUGUCACCCGAGAGUGAUGGUGUAUGCUGACAGAACAGGGGCGGAGCUUACAGACAUACGGAGUGCUGAUAGUAAUCACACAUUGUUCUGGAUCGGAAGGACAGCAGCCUGUAUGUCAGAAGAGCGAGUGAUACUCGCCAAAAAUACCUGAGUAAAAGCCACGCCCAUCACCACCUCAUUAAUACCCAGGUCCGGGACAAGAAAAUCGCGGCUCUUCGCCGAAAGCGCCGGAAAGAAAAGCAAGUCAAAGCUCGCAGUCGCACCUCACUUUCUGGAAACUUCACCUCAUCUGUGAGUUACCAAGAGAGUGCCUCGGGUUGGUCAUCGGUGGGGAGUCAGUGUCUGGGUUCAGAUGACGAGACUUUGGAGAACUCGCAAGCUACGGACAUGGAGGAAUGGAGGGCCAAACCUGAGAUGCACAGAAAGAGCCCCAUCAUACUGAGACGGUUUUUAAAUGAGCAGUCGACUGAGGUAGAACCUUUCAAAUCUCCUUCGAGGCCUGAUCAAGACCUUUUGACUUCAUCAAAAUCUCAGUCUUCCAUUCAGGUAAUGAUUUGCUGAUAUGAAAUUUCAGAGCUGAUACCGAUAAAUGAUUAUUUAUAGCGAUUUGUGGUCAAUACUGAUAACUGAUCAUUUAAUUUUUUGACUUUAAAAAGGAGUUGCUUUCUGAUAAAUUAAAAUGACUCACUUGAACCAAGGCGACUGUCAUAGGUGUAAUGCUGGUUUAAUGAGAAAUUAAUGACUUGAAACUAGCAUAAAUUGUAUUGUAUCCAUUUGUACGUUAUUGUUCAAAAGUUUAGGGUCAGUAAGAUUUUUAUUUUUAAAGAAAUUAAUACUUUUAUUCAACAAGGACACAUUUUAUUAAAUGUGUCCAAAGUAAAGACAUUUAUUAUGUUAC
RNAcentral lists this long non-coding RNA (1514 nucleotides) under Sinocyclocheilus grahami. Its description in RNAcentral is "lncRNA (ENSSGRG00000008077.1)". Lineage: Eukaryota; Metazoa; Chordata; Actinopteri; Cypriniformes; Cyprinidae. The record is from RNAcentral.